This 1134-nucleotide ribosomal RNA is filed under the name Melanops sp. CBS 118.39. RNAcentral's name for it is "SSU rRNA". It matches the Rfam family "Eukaryotic small subunit ribosomal RNA", at positions 20 to 1162 of the family's 1831-position model. Lineage: Eukaryota; Fungi; Ascomycota; Dothideomycetes; Botryosphaeriales; Melanopsaceae. The record is from RNAcentral.
GUAGUCAUAUGCUUGUCUCAAAGAUUAAGCCAUGCAUGUCUAAGUAUAAGCAAUCUAUACUGUGAAACUGCGAAUGGCUCAUUAAAUCAGUUAUCGUUUAUUUGAUAGUACCUUACUACUUGGAUAACCGUGGUAAUUCUAGAGCUAAUACAUGCUAAAAACCCCGACUUCGGAAGGGGUGUAUUUAUUAGAUAAAAAACCAAUGCCCUUCGGGGCUCCUUGGUGAUUCAUGAUAACUUAACGAAUCGCAUGGCCUUGCGCCGGCGAUGGUUCAUUCAAAUUUCUGCCCUAUCAACUUUCGAUGGUAGGAUAGUGGCCUACCAUGGUAUCAACGGGUAACGGGGAAUUAGGGUUCUAUUCCGGAGAGGGAGCCUGAGAAACGGCUACCACAUCCAAGGAAGGCAGCAGGCGCGCAAAUUACCCAAUCCCGACACGGGGAGGUAGUGACAAUAAAUACUGAUACAGGGCUCUUUUGGGUCUUGUAAUUGGAAUGAGUACAAUUUAAAUACCUUAACGAGGAACAAUUGGAGGGCAAGUCUGGUGCCAGCAGCCGCGGUAAUUCCAGCUCCAAUAGCGUAUAUUAAAGUUGUUGCAGUUAAAAAGCUCGUAGUUGAACCUUGGGCCUGGCUGGCCGGUCCGCCUCACCGCGUGUACUGGUUCGGCUGGGCCUUUCCUUCUGGGGAUCCGCAUGCCCUUCACUGGGUGUGCCGGGGAACCAGGACUUUUACUUUGAAAAAAUUAGAGUGUUCAAAGCAGGCCUUUGCUCGAAUACAUUAGCAUGGAAUAAUAGAAUAGGACGUGCGGUCCUAUUUUGUUGGUUUCUAGGACCGCCGUAAUGAUUAAUAGGGAUAGUCGGGGGCAUCAGUAUUCAAUUGUCAGAGGUGAAAUUCUUGGAUUUAUUGAAGACUAACUACUGCGAAAGCAUUUGCCAAGGAUGUUUUCAUUAAUCAGUGAACGAAAGUUAGGGGAUCGAAGACGAUCAGAUACCGUCGUAGUCUUAACCGUAAACUAUGCCGACUAGGGAUCGGGCGAUGUUAUUAUUUUGACUCGCUCGGCACCUUACGAGAAAUCAAAGUUUUUGGGUUCUGGGGGGAGUAUGGUCGCAAGGCUGAAACUUAAAGGAAUUGACGGAAG